Molecule: long non-coding RNA, 535 nt
Organism: Arachis duranensis
Lineage: Eukaryota; Viridiplantae; Streptophyta; Magnoliopsida; Fabales; Fabaceae
Exons: 2
Source: RefSeq, a predicted model, not a curated record
UUAACUCAUCGAAUUCUUUGCCUACAUAUUGCACAGGAGAGGCUGGAAACUUGAGAGUGAUAUAAAAGGAGGGCAAGCGAGAGUAUACAAAAAGAAGGGUUUGCAAAGUGGUGAGGGGUGGUGACUCGGGAGAGUGUGCGGUGAUUGCUGGGAGCGGCAAGGAAGGAGCAUGUCAUGUGGAAAAGAAAACCAAGCUAUGUGAUUAUCAUCUCCAUGAUCCUCUCUUAUUAUAUAGUUUUCAAUCUGAAUCAGUGCUCUAUCCUUCUUGCUCGCAAUAUCAUUUUCACUCCUCCGUCUUCCCCAUUCACCAGGUUGCAUAAUCCCUCGAGCCUUAUGAUGAUAAUCUUAAUCUGAAGGUACAAAAUCUAUGGUUUCUUGAGGACAAGACUAACUGAGACAGUUCAAGGGUAGGAAGAAUGGUCAUGAAAAUCAUGUAAAACCUUGGCAUACCUAAAUAAUAUGGUUGUACAUAAAUUUUGAUUGUGGUUCCAUUUUCUAUCAUACCUAAAUAAUUUCCAAAUCUGGGUUCCAAGGA